UACGUAGGGGGCUAGCGUUGUCCGGAAUCAUUGGGCGUAAAGAGCGCGUAGGCGGCCAGAUAAGUCCGGUGUGAAAGUCAAAGGCUCAACCUUUGAAUGCCGCUGGAAACUGUCUGGCUAGAGUCCGGGAGGGGCGAGUGGAAUUCCUGGUGUAGCGGUGAAAUGCGCAGAUAUCAGGAGGAACACCGGUGGCGAAGGCGGCAUCCUGGACCGGUAUUGACGCUGAGGCGCGAAAGCGUGGGGAGCAAACAGG
Molecule: ribosomal RNA, 253 nt
Filed under: uncultured bacterium
Lineage: Bacteria
Description: partial 16S ribosomal RNA
Rfam family: Bacterial small subunit ribosomal RNA
Source: RNAcentral